CUGCCCAAGGCCCUUGGCACAGGUUGGGAAGUGGGAAUGGUCCCCUGGGCCCUGCACACUCCGUUCUUCAUGGUGGGUCCUGCAUCCGUGGGAGGUUUCUGGGCUGCUGCUCUGAGGAGGGAUUUGAGGUCAGGCUGACUUUGGUGCUUCCCAAAAGGCACUGACUCUCUCUGUUUCAGUUCAGGUCCAGGGCAGCCACCCAGCAUUGCUCCAAAUCCACGAGAAGUGAAGCAAACCCAGGAAUUCACCCAGCCCUUCCCAUCAGUGGGCAGGUGGCAGCCCCAGUGCCAGGGAGAGGCAGGUGCUUUCUGCACACCCAGAACCGGACCAGACCCGCUGCCCAAAAUCCCAGCACAAACCACGGCUGCCCACAACCUUCUCCAGGGGGAGUGGUAAGUGCUGGGAACCCAGGGGACGUUCCCAGGACCUGAGCAACCAAAAACCUCCCUUUUCUCCCAGCCACAAGCAGUAACCCUGAGGUGACGGGCAGAAAGGGCCACUCCAUCACAAUGCCCGCUCCCCAGGGAUCCUUGGUACAUCGCUGCUUCCUUCCCAGCCCAUCCCAAAGAGCCAUCUCCACAUGGGACACUACCAAAACAUUUAUUAGAAGAGUGCAGGGUGGCCAGGCUCCACAGGACCUGCCCUGCAGCUGCCCACAGAGCUGGGGAGGGCAGCAGGAAUGUUCACCCUGGGCAUCUCGUGUGUCCCAGCAUCAACCGGGAGAUGCAGGCGCUUGUUUCCCCGAGGGAAAUGUGUCCCUGCUGGGGCGUGGGCAGUGGGGACAGGCUGGCUGUGCCAUUCCUGCAGGCAGGAGGCAGCACUCGGGCACUGCAGAACUCCCAGCAGGGAGAUCCAGGGCUGCUCACACUGGGCACUGCAGAGCUCCCAGCAGGCAGAUCCAGGGCUGCUCACACUGGGCACUGCAGAGCUCCCAGCAGGCAGAUCCAGGGCUGCUCACACUGGGCACUGCAGAGCUCCCAGCAGAUCCAGGGCUGCUCACACUGGGCACUGCAGAGCUCCCAGCAGGCAGAUCCAGGGCUGCUCACACUGGGCACUGCAGAGCUCCCAGCAGAUCCAGGGCUGCUCACACUGGGCACUGCAGAGCUCCCAGCAGAUCCAGGGCUGCUAUCCAGGGCUGCUGGGGGGGGGGGGGGGGGGGGGGGGGGGGGGGGGGGGGGGGGGGGGGGGGGGGGGGGGGGGGG
This 1202-nucleotide long non-coding RNA is filed under the name Ficedula albicollis (Collared flycatcher). RNAcentral's name for it is "lncRNA (ENSFALG00000026164.1)". The record is from RNAcentral. Lineage: Eukaryota; Metazoa; Chordata; Aves; Passeriformes; Muscicapidae.